Molecule: long non-coding RNA, 220 nt
Filed under: Erythranthe guttata (spotted monkey flower)
Lineage: Eukaryota; Viridiplantae; Streptophyta; Magnoliopsida; Lamiales; Phrymaceae
Description: long non-coding RNA (EGUT_LNC002356)
Source: RNAcentral
UCUUUUGUUACUGCAAGAAGCUGGCUUUUUGUUUGACAUGUAUAAAUUUAAACAAAUCAAUACUCUUAUUUCAGAUAGAGCUGAUACAUAAAAUAAUAUAAGAUUAUCGGGUGUUGCUCACGUUUAUACGAGAUUUAUUUGUCGUGGAUCCAGGUAUACUGAAUAUUAUGUACUUUGAUUGCAUAUUUGGUGAUGAGAUACCAGAGAACAAAGGAAGACU